GACUGUUUUGAUGAGAAAUUUAAAGAUUACGUGUCCCAUCCGUUUGACUCACAGUUUGGUACCAUAGGUUGGUACGAUCUUCGUUGGAGAAGGAAAAGGGAUGUUCCAGAUACAGAAAACCGUCAAACCAUUUACAACAAAGUCCGUUUCUGAACCAUACGAUGAGACUGUUUUGAUGAGGAAUUGAAAGAUUAUGUGUCCCAUCCAUUUGACUCACAGUUUGGUACCAUAGGUUGGUACGAUCUUCGUUGGAGAAGGAAAAGGGAUGUUCCAGAUACAGAAAAUCGUCAAACCAUUUACGACAAAGUCCGUUUCUGGGUGGAGUUAGUGGAACCGAAAAAGAUGUCUCCCUCACAGUGUUUGUGACAAAAGAAUUGCAUCGUUCCUUGGCGGCCUUUCAACAGAAUAUUCAGAGAUUUCCCGAGUGGGAAGAAUGACACAAUCAUCGCCUUGGAAGCUUCAUCACGAUACUACUUUGCAUUUCUGAAGAGGGAAGAAGAAAUCAACAUGCAAAUUCAAUUCCAUGGUUUUGGAAGUCCCAUUGAGAACACGAUUCAUUUGCGCCGGCACAAUGCUCUGACCGAGAAAGAAUUGAAGUUUCCACUUGGAAGAAAGAUUCACAUCAAAUUGACUGGUCAAGUAAAUGGGACACUGACUAACCAUACGAUGAGACUGUUUUGAUGAGGAAUUUAAAGAUUAUGUGUCCCAUCCGUUUGACUCACAGUUUGGUACCAUAGGUUGGUACGAUCUUCGUU
Molecule: long non-coding RNA, 755 nt
Organism: Stegostoma tigrinum
Lineage: Eukaryota; Metazoa; Chordata; Chondrichthyes; Orectolobiformes; Stegostomatidae
Exons: 6
Source: RefSeq, a predicted model, not a curated record